This 699-nucleotide ribosomal RNA is filed under the name uncultured bacterium. RNAcentral describes it as "bacterial SSU rRNA". It matches the Rfam family "Bacterial small subunit ribosomal RNA", at positions 636 to 1324 of the family's 1533-position model. The record is from RNAcentral.
AUAGGCUCGAGGGACGUAGAGGGAGGCGGAGCUCUCGGAGUAGCGGUGGAAUGCGUAGAUACCGAGAGGUACCCCGAUGGUGAAGACAGCCUCCUGGGCGUCACCUGACACUGAAGCGCUAAGGCCAGGGGAGCAAAGGGGAUUAGAUACCCCCGUAGUCCUGGCUUCAAACGAUGUGGGCUUGGUGUCGGCUCCCGAAGAGAGUCGUUGCCGGAGCUAACGUGUUAAGCCCACCGCCUGGGGAUUACGUCCGCAAGGAUGAAACUCAAGGGAAUUGACGGGGGCCCACACAACCGGUGGAGCACGUGGUUUAAUUCGAUGAUAAGCGAAGAACCUUACCAGGACUUGACAUGUCGGUAGUAGGACCCUGAAAAGGGAACGAACCAAAGCUUUGCUUUGGUAGCCGUCACAGGUAUUGCAUGGCUGUCGUCAGCUCGUGUCGUGGGACGUUGGGUUAAGUCCCGUAACGAGCGCAACCCCUGCCCUUAAUUGCCAGCGCAUUUGGCGGGUACUAUAAGGGGACUGCCGGAGAAUAUCCGGAGGAAGGAGGGGACGAUCGUCAAGUCAUUAUGAUCCUUAUGUUCUGGGCGACACACGUGCUACAAUGGGCACUACAGUGGGGAGCCAAUCCGCAAGGAUGAGCAAAUCCCAAAAAGGUGCCCCCAGUGCGGAUUGGGGUCUGCAACCCGACCCCAUGAA